Engraulis encrasicolus (European anchovy) is the source of this 731-nucleotide long non-coding RNA. RefSeq lists it as uncharacterized. The transcript has 3 exons. The record is from RefSeq and is a predicted model, not a curated record. Lineage: Eukaryota; Metazoa; Chordata; Actinopteri; Clupeiformes; Engraulidae.
AGAGUAUGGGGUCAGUUCCAAGUCGGACUCAGGGGAGUGGACGCACCUGCCGUGCAUAGUCCCUUGGACUUGUAAUUGGACAUGGGACACAAGCUGGGGCUUGAUCACCCUGUAGCUGGCCACCUUUGAUGAGGGUGUCUAGUGUCGAAAGGCCGAAACACCCCCUGAUUCAAAGGCACACUAACGAUGUGUCCUAAAUUGACAAGGUACAACGUCCCCUCGCCUCUCUCACCAUCAAGGAAACUCAUGUGACUCAACACCUAAUGGCACAAUGGAGAGUAACACCAUCUCGUCCUGUGUUUUAUAAAUCUGGAAAGGACUGCAAGAGGGUGCCAAAGAAGCAGAAUAUGGGUGACGCUUGCCGGUUUGAUGACCUGAAGACAACUGCAGAUCAUGCGCAGGAUGAACAACAAGAGUUGGUGGUCGAGGUACAGAUAUAAACAUGAGAAGGAGAGAAGAGAAGCGGGAUCGGCUACAGGAAAGUGCAGAGGACAGAUAAAAUGAAAGAAAGAAGUGCUGAAAAAUAAGCACUGGAAAGGACCAAGAGAGGACAAGCAUUGCUAGUGACCAGCUGGCCAUCUCAGAGUUCCCCUGUUCUCACCUGGACCCCUUAUGGAGCGCACAUGCACCUCCAUUACGGAAAUCAGGGCUGCUGACAGCUUUGGCUGGGACUGGGAUAGUCACCAAAAGCCCCCUCGAUUGAGUCCCUGACUCAUAUGAUAGGCCUAAAU